Molecule: non-coding RNA, 71 nt
Organism: Podarcis lilfordi (Lilford's wall lizard)
Lineage: Eukaryota; Metazoa; Chordata; Lepidosauria; Squamata; Lacertidae
Source: the annotation of a GenBank genome assembly
GUAUAGCUCAGCUGGUAGAGCAUGAGACUCUGGAUCUCAGAGAGUCGUGGGUUUGAGUCCUAAGCUGAACA